AGUGGCGCACGGGUGAGUAACACGUGAAUUAUCUACCUCCGAGUGGGGAAUAACUGAGAGAAAUCUUAGCUAAUACCGCAUAACACUUACGAGUCAAAGCAGUAAUGCGCUUGGAGAGGAGUUCGCGGCCGAUUAGUUAGUUGGCGGGGUAAUGGCCCACCAAGACGAUGAUCGGUAUCCGGCCUGAGAGGGCGCACGGACACACUGGAACUGAAACACGGUCCAGACUCCUACGGGAGGCAGCAGUGGGGAAUUUUGCGCAAUGGGGGAAACCCUGACGCAGCAACGCCGCGUGGAGGAUGAAAUAUCUUGGUAUGUAAACUCCUUUCGAUGGGGAAGAUUAUGACGGUACCCAUAGAAGAAGCCCCGGCUAACUUCGUGCCAGCAGCCGCGGUAAUACGAGGGGGGCAAGCGUUGUUCGGAUUUAUUGGGCGUAAAGGGUGCGUAGGCGGUUUGGCAAGUCUUGUGUGAAAUCUUUGGGCUCAACCCAAAGUCUGCACAAGA
RNAcentral lists this ribosomal RNA (504 nucleotides) under uncultured bacterium. RNAcentral's name for it is "bacterial SSU rRNA". It matches the Rfam family "Bacterial small subunit ribosomal RNA", at positions 94 to 630 of the family's 1533-position model. The record is from RNAcentral.